Molecule: long non-coding RNA, 274 nt
Filed under: Elaeis guineensis (African oil palm)
Lineage: Eukaryota; Viridiplantae; Streptophyta; Magnoliopsida; Arecales; Arecaceae
Description: long non-coding RNA (EGUI_LNC079270)
Source: RNAcentral
GUAGAAGUCUGGAUGGAGAUCGCUUAUCGAAGAAGCUCGACUGAAGUCCGCCUGUAAUAAAAGUUCGGAAGGAAUUCGUUUAUAGUAAAAGCUCGGAUGGAAUUCGCUUACAAUAGAGGUCCGCUUGCAGUAGAAAUUUGGAGUGGAUUGCUUGUGGUAGAAGUUUGGAAUAGACUGCUUGCAGUAGAAGUUCGACUGGAGAUCGGUUGCCAUGGAAGCCUGGAUGGAGAUCGCUUAUUGUAGAAGCUCAGCCGAAGAUCAGUUGUCGUGGAAG